RNAcentral lists this ribosomal RNA (521 nucleotides) under uncultured bacterium. RNAcentral's name for it is "bacterial SSU rRNA". It matches the Rfam family "Bacterial small subunit ribosomal RNA", at positions 25 to 518 of the family's 1533-position model. The record is from RNAcentral.
CAGGACGAACGCUGGCGGCGUGCCUAAUACAUGCAAGUCGAACGGUCUUUCUAUGGAAGCUUGCUUCCACUGAGAAGAUAGUGGCGAACGGGUGAGUAACACGUGGGUAACCUGCCCAUAAGAGGGGGGAUAACAUCCGGAAACGGGUGCUAAUACCGCAUAGUUUUCUUGAUCGCAUGAUCGGGAAAGGAAAGACGGCCUUUGUGCUGUCGCUUAUGGAUGGACCCGCGGCGUAUUAGUUAGUUGGUGAGGUAACGGCUCACCAAGACGAUGAUACGUAGCCGACCUGAGAGGGUGAUCGGCCACAUUGGGACUGAGACACGGCCCAAACUCCUACGGGAGGCAGCAGUAGGGAAUCUUCCGCAAUGGACGAAAGUCUGACGGAGCAACGCCGCGUGAGUGAAGAAAGGUUUUCGGAUCGUAAAACUCUGUUGUCAGAGAAGAACAAGUUGGAGAGUAACUGCUCCAGCCUUGACGGUAUCUGACCAGAGAGCCACGGCUAACUACGUGCCAGCCGCCGC